Molecule: ribosomal RNA, 83 nt
Filed under: Acidimicrobiia bacterium
Lineage: Bacteria; Bacillati; Actinomycetota; Acidimicrobiia
Source: RNAcentral
CCAUUCCGAACACGGAAGUUAAGCCCACCAGCGCCGAUGGUACUUGGGUGGAGACACCCUGGGAGAGUAGGUCGCCGCCGGAU